UGCCAGCAGCCGCGGUAAUACGGAGGGGGCAAGCGUUAUUCGGAUUUACUGGGCGUAAAGGGCGCGCAGGCGGCCCGUUAAGUGAGAAGUGAAAGCCCUCGGCUCAACCGGGGAAUUGCUCCUCAUACUGGCGGGCUAGAGUAUGGGAGAGGGAGACGGAAUUCCCGGUGUAGCGGUGAAAUGCGUAGAGAUCGGGAGGAACAUCAGUGGCGAAGGCGGUUUCCUGGACCAUGACUGACGCUGAGGCGCGAAAGCGUGGGGAGCAAACAGGAUUAGAUA
Molecule: ribosomal RNA, 279 nt
Filed under: uncultured bacterium
Lineage: Bacteria
Description: partial 16S ribosomal RNA
Rfam family: Bacterial small subunit ribosomal RNA
Source: RNAcentral